UACAGAGGGUGCAAGCGUUGCUCGGAAUUAUUGGGCGUAAAGGGUGGGUAGGUGGUCUCGUUUGUCUUAGGUGAAAUCCCUGGGCUUAACCCAGGAAGUGCCUUGGAAACGGCGAGACUGGAGUACUAGAGAGGUUCGUAGAAUUCCCGGUGUAGCGGUGAAAUGCGUAGAGAUCGGGAGGAAUACCAGAUGCGAAGGCGGCGAACUGGAUAGUUACUGACACUAAACCACGAAAGCGUGGGGAUCAAACAGG
This 253-nucleotide ribosomal RNA is filed under the name uncultured bacterium. RNAcentral's name for it is "partial 16S ribosomal RNA". It matches the Rfam family "Bacterial small subunit ribosomal RNA", at positions 524 to 776 of the family's 1533-position model. The record is from RNAcentral.